GUCGCGGUGGCCCAGCUGCAGCCUUGCUGCGUCCGCAUCUCCCGCAUGCUUCAGGCGGGCGGGGGCGACCCCGCAGCGAGCUCAAAGCCCACCUGAGGUAACUCCUGCGGCCUCCAGUUCUGCUUUCCCGGUGCGGCGCGCUGCAAUCGCUGCCCGCCGCUAAGGAGGCCGGCCGAGCCCCCGGCCACGGCAGGGGGUGUGGCUGCCGGCUGUGCCUUCUGCGACAGGUGGGCCCAUCAGGGCAGCUGCCCAGACCCGGGCUCCGCACUGCCUUCCGCGGCAGAAAAGCGAUAGCGACCCCGGGCCGUGGGUUCUUCCGCCCCGGCUCUCUAAGGCUGCCCUUGGGCCAGGCCGAGCCGGAGCCGCAGGAGCCCUCGGGCGCUGAGGGCCGGGAGCUGCCAGCGUGGAAUCCCAGUUGAAGUCCUGCACCGGAGGGGCUGUGAGAUCUUGGGCUAGUCAGCCCUCCCCUCGGCCUGAGUUUCCACAUUUGAAAAAUGAAAGUCUGGACUAGGUGAUUUGUGAGGACCUUCCCCUUCUGACGUGUGUGAUCUUGAGAGAGACUUGCAUACAUGGGAAGCUGCCAGAGCGAAAGCAUAGGUUCCAUCUGUGCUGGUUUUUUCCAAGUGUAAGGAUUUCCCUGAGGGUAAACACCUAGGUUUGGAGUUGCUGCUUGUAAGUUGUGCAUAUGUGCAGUUGUACUAAAUAUCACCAAAUUGCUUUCCCAUGUAGUUGUGCUAACUUACUCUCCUACCAGCAGUGUAUGAGCGCUCCUGUUGAUGUCCUGUCUGUGUGCUCCCCAGUGCUCAGAAUGAGCAAAAUGAUACAUCUAAUAGUUUGGGUUUCUUUGUAGGAUGAUGAAAUAUGCUAAAACUGAUUGUGGUGAUGUCGCACAACUCUGUGAAAAAUGCCAGAAACCAUUGAUUUUUAUACCUCAAAAGGAGCCAUUGGUAGAAGGAAGGAAAUUAAGAAAAAACUAACAACAAAAAAAAGAUGCUGUGAACAGUCCUUUGGAGAGGCCAAUGUGGUAGGGGACUAAGAGUUGCCCAUAGCCACAUGAGUGAGCUUGGAGGCAAAUCCCUCUAACCCCCUUUGUACACAGAGCCAGGCCUUCAGAUGAUCCUACAGCUAGCUUGAUAAAUCAUGAAUCUGAGGUACCUAGGUAAGCUGUAUCUAGAUUCCUGACCCAUAGUAGCUGUGAGAUAAUAAAUGUUCAUUGUUUUAAACCACUGAGUUCUGGAGUAAUUUGUUAUGCACAAUAACUAAUGCAUGGGCAGCAGUAUUGCAUUAUGUGUUGCCUUUAAUCCUGGUGCUGUGGAAAGCUGUGAUGGUUACAUUAAUAAACUAUAACCGACUCUUUUUUGAUGCCUGAACAGGUCUUGAUUUUGCCUUCAUUUAAAAAAUUUUUUAUUGAAGUAUAGUGGACUUGCAAAGUUGUGUUAGUUUCAUCUGCACAGCAAAGCAAAUCACUUAUAUAUAUAUAUAUAUAUCCAUUUCUUUUUAGAUUCUUUCCCCAUAUAGGUUAUUACACAGUACUGAGUAGAUUCGCCUUUGCUAUACAGUAGGUCCUUGUUACCUACCUAUUUUAUAUAUACCUAUUUCAUCAUCAUUUUGUUAAACACAAUUCAUGACUAGGUAGUAAUAAUUUUUUUUUUUUUUUUUUGCUUUUUAGGGCCGCUCCCGAGGCAUGUGAAGGUUCCCAGGCUAGGGGCCAAAUCAGAGCUGUAGCUGCCAACCCACACCACAGCCACAGCAAUGCAGGAUCCAAGCUGUAUCUGCCACCUAUACCAUAGCUCACAGCAAUGCCGGAUCUUAACCUACUGAGCAAGGCCAGGAUUGAACCUGUGUCCUCAUGGAUGCUAGUCAGAUUCGUUAACUGCUGAGCCACGAUGGGAACUCCAGGUAGUAAUACAUUUUUGAACCAUCUUCCAAAUUAUUGCUGUGGGGAUUAUAUUUAUAAUAGUUUAAAUUGCCGUGGGGAUUAUGUUUAGAAUAGUAAAUUUGCUUUAUGAUAAUAUAAAAAUUUAUAAUCUCUAUGGUUGCAUUCUGCAUCUUUAUCAACCAGGACAGGCCAUUUCCAGAUCAUAUGGCAUUUAUUAUAUUGUCAGGAUCUUCUGGUAACUUUUAUAUUUGAAAUUUAUGGAUAAUAUCAAUAUAUCUUAAGCAAAUUUAUUUUAUUAUUUAUGCCUUAAGCAAAGGCACUAAAAAGUGAUUAUUGAGGCAAAACUGCAGAUCCCUAGAAGGCAUUCUUUUCUUAAUGGAACCAUAUGAGGAAGUUAAAGACAAUUUUUGUUCUUUUCCUUUGAAUAUUUAUAUAUUCAAAGAAAGGUUGUAUAACUACAUGGAUAAGGAACUCACAAUGAGUUUUGAAACUUUAUUUUUAAAAAAUUAAGAUAUGUUUUGAAAGUUUUUUAUUUUCUCUGUCCUUUUAUUUUUCUUACUUUUUCAAAAAUGGAAAGGACGGGAGUUCCUGUUGUGACACAGCAGAAAUGAAUCCGACUAGUAUCCAUGAGCACGCAGGCUUGAUUCCUGGCCUUGCUCAGUGAGUUAAGGAUCUAGCGUUGCUGUGAGCUGUGGUGUAGGUUGCAGAUGUGGCUCAGAUCCCACAUUGCUGUGGCUAUGGCACAGGCUGGCAGCUGUAGUUCUGAUUUGAUUUCUAGCCUGGGAACUUACAUUGUUGCAGGUGCAACACUAAAAAGAAAAAAAAAAA
RNAcentral lists this long non-coding RNA (2707 nucleotides) under Sus scrofa (pig). RNAcentral describes it as "lncRNA (ENSSSCG00060067932.1)". Lineage: Eukaryota; Metazoa; Chordata; Mammalia; Artiodactyla; Suidae. The record is from RNAcentral.